AGUGAAUAGAUACCCGGGUAGUCCUAGCCUUAAACGAUGCUGACUUGGUGUCCCCGGGUUUUUAGUCCCGGGUGCCGGAGCUAAACGCGUUAAAGUCAGCCGCCUGGGGAGUACGGUCGCAAGGCUGAAACUCAAAGGAAAUUGACGGGACCCGCACAAGCGGUGGAGCAUGUGGUUUAAUUCGACGCAACGCGAAGAACCUUACCUGGGCUAGAAUGCGGCGGAUAAGCCCCAGAGAUGGGGCGAUCCGGGUAACCGGCUCCUGCCUGCAAGGUGCUGCAUGGCUGUCGUCAGCUCGUGUCGUGAGAUGUUGGGUUAAGUCCCCGCAACGAGCGCAACCCUUACCGUGAGUUUACCAUCAUUCAGUUGGGGACUCUCGCGGAACUGCCGGUGAUAAACCCGGAGAAGGUGGGGAUGACGUCAAGUCCUCAUGGCCUUUAUGUCCCA
This 447-nucleotide ribosomal RNA is filed under the name uncultured bacterium. RNAcentral describes it as "bacterial SSU rRNA". It matches the Rfam family "Bacterial small subunit ribosomal RNA", at positions 774 to 1210 of the family's 1533-position model. The record is from RNAcentral.